AGAACGAACGCUGGCGGCAGGCUUAACACAUGCAAGUCGAACGCUCAUAGCAAUAUGGGAGUGGCGCACGGGUGAGUAACACGUGGGAACAUGCCUUUCAGUUCGGGAUAACAGUUGGAAACGACUGCUAAUACCGAAUAUUCCCUCCGGGGGAAAGAUUUAUCGCUGAAAGAUUGGCCCGCGUUAGAUUAGGUAGUUGGUGGGGUAAUGGCCUACCAAGCCUACGAUCUAUAGCUGGUCUGAGAGGACGACCAGCCACACUGGAACUGAGACACGGUCCAGACUCCUACGGGAGGCAGCAGUGGGGAAUAUUGGUCAAUGGACGCAAGUCUGAACCAGCCAUGCCGCGUGAAGGAUUAAGGCCCUCUGGGUUGUAAACUUCUUUUAUCUGGGAAGAAUGUUUCGAUUCUUCGGAACUUGGCGGUACCAGAGGAAUAGCACCGGCUAACUACGUGCCAGCAGCCGC
This 466-nucleotide ribosomal RNA is filed under the name uncultured bacterium. RNAcentral describes it as "SSU rRNA". It matches the Rfam family "Bacterial small subunit ribosomal RNA", at positions 26 to 518 of the family's 1533-position model. The record is from RNAcentral.